UUUCCGUAGGUGAACCUGCGGAAGGAUCAUCAAAGAGUAAGGGUCUUCGGGCCCGAUCUCCAACCCUUUGUUUAACUACCAUGUUGCUUUGGCGGGCCCGUCUCACGACCGCCGGAAGUUUGGCUUCGACCAAACUUCUGGCCCGUGCCCGUCAGUGGCCCCUUCAAAUUCUUGAUCAAGUAUGAUGUCUUAGUUAAAAACUUAAUAGUUAAAACUUUCAACAACGGAUCUCUUGGUUCUG
This 241-nucleotide unclassified non-coding RNA is filed under the name plant metagenome. Its description in RNAcentral is "partial contains small subunit ribosomal RNA, internal transcribed spacer 1, and 5.8S ribosomal RNA". The record is from RNAcentral.